UACGUAGGUGGCGAGCGUUAUCCGGAUUUAUUGGGUUUAAAGGGUGCGUAGGCGGGCUUUUAAGUCAGCGGUAAAAAUUCGGGGCUCAACCCCGUCCGGCCGUUGAAACUGGGGGCCUUGAGUGGGCGAGAAGAAGGCGGAAUGCGUGGUGUAGCGGUGAAAUGCAUAGAUAUCACGCAGAACCCCGAUUGCGAAGGCAGCCUUCCGGCGCCCUACUGACGCUGAGGCACGAAAGCGUGGGGAGCAAAUAGG
Molecule: ribosomal RNA, 252 nt
Filed under: uncultured bacterium
Lineage: Bacteria
Description: partial 16S ribosomal RNA
Rfam family: Bacterial small subunit ribosomal RNA
Source: RNAcentral